CUGGGCCUUCCUGCUGGGGUGUGCUGCUCUCCCCACAUUGUGUGGGCACCAGCACUAUCCACUUAGCACCUCAACCCCCCGGGGCCUCUUCACUCGUCUCCCAGGGGCUCCCCUAAAAGCUACUUGCUCCUGAGCUCCAAUUGUAAUCAAGUCCCAAAGCAGCUGGGUUUAAAGACACAAUUAUGCAUUAUGGAUAAAGGGCAGGUCACCCUCCCCCGCCAGCCAGCUGGGCAUCUGUGCUUGCCCCACGGCUCCCAUCAGAGGCUCCAGCAGGCCUGUCCCUCCCCUGGGCACACAGAGCAAGCCAAGGCGCCCCUUGGUGCCCGCAGUCCCAGGAGCCGAGCACGGGGCUCCUGGCUGCAGCCGCAGAAAGGCCCUCUUGCUGGGAUCCCACUACAAAUUGAUGAACGCUAAUGACCUGCUUCCUCCAUCUGGUACCACAAUCAUGAAGAUGCUCCCAAACGCUGGGAGUUGGGGGGUAUUCUUUUUUUCUUUUCCUUUUUGCCUUUUUUUCAAAUAUUUAUGAAGAGAUUUUCCAUUUAUCCUGACACGUCUUCUCCACCGUGGGUGUCAGCUAGGAGGGCUCAGACAACAAACUCCAGAAGGUAUUUUCCCCAAAGCAGCAUCUGGCUCCGUUGGCAAGUACAGCGGGUGGUUUGCUGGGAAUUGGCCGAGGAAGAGGGAGGAGGAGCCACAGGCUGGCAGCCUCCGGUCCUGGCUCUGUGAUGCUCCCAGGGAUGGGGCUGGAGCAUCCCAAGAGAGCAGCCAGGAUACAGGACCUCACAGGCACCCCCACCAGCCUCUCUCUCACUCUCACCCUUCAAGUCUUCUGGUCUGAUGCCAAAGCUCCCCAGCUCCCCAGGUAAACCACCUGGGUGGUGACCAGUUCUCCACGGCAGCCUCUAAGAGUCUUCUUCAGCGACAAUUCCCAGUGGGACAAGUUGGUAAAGGAGAGGGUGCUGGCUUGGCCCCUGCAUCUCAAGCUCUCCCCUCCCAGGAAGCCUUCUAAAGGCAGAGCCAGAGGCCUCCCUCAUUCUCCCUGAUGGGCAUUUCCCACCUUUGGGGACAGUGUGACCCACACCGGGGACAGAGAGAGUUGGCUGGGCAGCAGGGCUAGAGGUAGCAAUAAGAACCUUAUGGAAUCUCCCAGGUCACACCAGCUUAACUGCUGUCUUCUGUACUCACUGUGGC
This 1191-nucleotide long non-coding RNA is filed under the name Homo sapiens (human). Its description in RNAcentral is "HSALNT0244110". The record is from RNAcentral. Lineage: Eukaryota; Metazoa; Chordata; Mammalia; Primates; Hominidae.